Long non-coding RNA from Oryzias melastigma (Indian medaka), 1328 nucleotides. RefSeq lists it as uncharacterized. NCBI's taxonomy places the organism in Eukaryota, Metazoa, Chordata, Actinopteri, Beloniformes, Adrianichthyidae. The transcript has 2 exons. The record is from RefSeq and is a predicted model, not a curated record.
CCGCUUUAGUGUUUGUUAAUCCAACUUUUUAUACUCAGCUGGUAAAUAAUUGUGUUUUUGGUUCAAGGUUUGUGGAACAUUUCUCCUAAAUGUACUGCAUCCUGAAAUUCACAUUUUUUCUUUUCUUGGACAGAGAUGAUGAUCCCAGCAGGAACUCUCAUCUGCAGCUCUUUUGCAUCUCUGACUUCAUCAUGAACACUCAUACGGUUUCGCUGCGAGGCGUCUGAAUGCACGGCGUAAACACACACUUUCAAACAUACAGCCUCCAAAGGGAGGAGCGGACAGAGGGGGAGUGUGUGGGGGAGACGCUGGUGUUUUCAUUAUUCUUUCCCCUUCAUUGGAAGCUUGCUCAUCUGGCUAAUGGGAUUGGCGGCAGUCACCACUGAGCACUGGGACCACACACACAAACGCACAGACGGAGAAUGAGACAGGAGGAAGAGAAAGGAGGACAGAGGACGAGGAGGAGGAGGAGGAGGCACCAAUGUGUGACUCGCAGUCGACUUGUAUAAUGAAAACUUCAUUACAAUGAAAAAUGAAGACGGGGACUUUGACAAAAACACCUGCAAAGGUGGACAAUUGAUUUGGUAACAUCAAUAAUCAAGAAAGAAGAUUCACUUUUCAGAAAAACCUCUUAAAGCGAAGUAAACUGAUAAAGAAAGGAAGUGAAAGAAACAAAAAGACAAUGGACUGAAGGAGUGUGAAAUUGACUGGAUGAUGAAAUAAAUCCAUCAGAAAGAAAAUGAAAUGGAAAAAGUGGGGAAUGUGGAAAAGAAUGGGUAAUUAAACCGUUUAGGAGACAAAAAGUCGAUUACAAAAAGUUUUUUGUAUUACUGAAGAAAACAGGAAAAGCUUUGUGUGGCUCAGGUGAAGUUUCAGCCGCGUGAAACUUUUCCUGCUGUGAUCCUGAAAGUGCUGUGAUGAUGUGAAGUGCUCGCAGGCAGGAGACUUUACAGGAAACGCCUUUGGCGCUUGAACAUUUCAAGUAGUUUUCAUCAAAACACUACAAUCUAAAGUCUUUCUAUAAUGUCAGUUUUUUUUUUACCUGGAACAUUGUUAGCCAAACUGACCUGUAGCUGAAUCACGUGUUCAUGAGAGUUGCUUUGGUUUCCAGGUCCUCCAGGCAAAAAAUAAGUUUGUAAUUCAUGACCUUCUUUUAUAAAACCUUUUUUCUGUUUAACAGCUAGAUUUUGGAAUACAAAAGGUGGGGUCUGUGUAGAGGAAAAAUUUUACCCCUGCCUCAUAUACAAAAAGAAAAUCAUAAAAAUUCGCAUGCACCCAUACUUGGUGUAAAUGCAGUUUGGGCACAGUAAUCCAAAAAGAAAAAAAAA